UACGGGGGGAGCAAGCGUUGUUCGGAAUCACUGGGCGUAAAGGGUGUCUAGGCGGUCAGGUAAGUGAGAUGUGAAAUGCCCCGGCUUACCCGGGGACCUGCAUCUCAUACUGUCUGGCUUGAGUAUGGGAGAGGAUGAGGGAAUUCCUGGUGUAGCGGUGAAAUGCGUAGAUAUCAGGAGGAACACCGGUGGCGAAAGCGCUCAUCUGGCCCAAUACUGACGCUGAAGCACGAAAGCUAGGGGAGCAAACGGG
RNAcentral lists this ribosomal RNA (253 nucleotides) under uncultured bacterium. RNAcentral's name for it is "partial 16S ribosomal RNA". It matches the Rfam family "Bacterial small subunit ribosomal RNA", at positions 524 to 776 of the family's 1533-position model. The record is from RNAcentral.